UACGUAGGGACCGAGCGUUGUCCGGAAUCAUUGGGCGUAAAGAGCGUGUAGGCGGCCAAUUAAGUCCUGCGUGAAAUCUCCCGGCUCAACUGGGAGGGUGCGCCGAAAACUGGAGGGCUAGAGUACUGGAUGGGAGAGUGGAAUUCCUGGUGUAGCGGUGAAAUGCGUAGAUAUCAGGAGGAACACCUGUGGUGUAGACGGCUCUCUGGACAGUAACUGACGCUGAGACACGAAAGCGUGGGUAGCAAACAGG
This 253-nucleotide ribosomal RNA is filed under the name uncultured bacterium. RNAcentral's name for it is "partial 16S ribosomal RNA". It matches the Rfam family "Bacterial small subunit ribosomal RNA", at positions 524 to 776 of the family's 1533-position model. The record is from RNAcentral.